Molecule: long non-coding RNA, 1671 nt
Organism: Piliocolobus tephrosceles (Ugandan red Colobus)
Lineage: Eukaryota; Metazoa; Chordata; Mammalia; Primates; Cercopithecidae
Source: Ensembl
AAAAAAUAUAACAUCAAUUUAGAAACAGAAUAACUUUUAUUAUAUGCAAUAUAUUUAAGUAAUUAUAUAUUGAUAAAUGUUAACUAUCUACUUUUAUUUUGACAUAAUGUUUUCAAAACGCAAUAAUUAUAAGUACAUAAUUACUAUUCUUGCAUUAUAAUGUAUAUUUAAUAAAAAAAAAAAAAAAAAAAAAAGAAUAUAUAUAUUUUAUACUUUUAUACAUUUGUAUAUUACAAAAUUUUACUAUGCAUAAUUAAUAAUACAAUUUCAAUAGUGCUUAUCCUAUCACAAUUAUACAUAAUAUUUAACAUUAUUAAAUAGAUUACAUUGCUUAGAAAAUUUUUACAUAAUUCUAUAAAAAUUUUUUAUUAAAAAUACUAUAAAUGUACAUUUCGAUUAAAAUAAGAGUAGUUUAAACGAAUAUAUACUUUAUACAUAAUUUUAUCAAUAUUUACUUUCACGCAAAAAUAUAUGUAUACAAAAUUGAAAAAAAAAAAAAAGUGUUAUUUUUUACAAUAAUAUUUUUUUCAAAAUUGUAUCAUUAAAAUUUUAUACAAUAUAUAUAUAUAUAUAUAUAUAUAUAUAUAUAUAUAUAUAUUUGCAUGUUCAACAUAAUUACUACUUAAAAAACUGAAUUUAUCUUAAACUAUCAAUUGCUUCUUAUUUUUAUAUUUACUAAUUACUAACAAAUUAUGGAUUCCUGUAGUAGUACAAGCUCAUUUUUUACGAGGUCUAGCGUACUUGAAUAUAAAGACGCGGAUGAAAAAUUUUCGUCGGCUAUGUGUAAUGGAAAACCUUAUAACGGAAAUAUCAAAAUUAGAAAAUGCUUGAAGAGUUUGAGUUUAUUUGCCUGCUCAUUUGUUUUUCUUUAUAUAAUAUUGCUGAAUAUAACAAAAUUUGAUAAUAAUAAGACAAUAACAAAAUUAGCAUGUCAGAACGCAUACUCAAGAACAUUAUCUGAGUUGAAUGGAGAUGUUGAAUCAUGUCCUCAUGGAAUGUGCACUACCAAAAUCAAAGAUCAAGAAGAAGCUACAAAAAAAUUACAUGAUGUUAAACUCAAAAAAAAAAGCAAAACAGUACCAGAUGAACCUUUAAAUGAAAAGGAUAAGUUAAUGGAUUUACCACAUUUUUUACGUGAUGAUUUUAUGUUUAAUAUAACUGAAGAAAAAUUUCAGGAACUUAUCGAUGCAUUAGAAGAUAAACCAUCGAAGGAUGCAAUUGAAAAAAUUUGGGCACAUGGAGUAUAUAUGGAAAUUAAUAAAUUUAUAGUAAUGUUAUUUGAGUUAUAUGACUAUUAUAUGAAAACAAAAGAUAUAUAUAUUUUAGUGCAUACCGUUUCAGAAAAAAUGAAACAGAAUAUCUUCAACCCAUUUUUUGAUAGUUUAAAUAAUUUAUAUAAUCAUAUAAAUGAGGAAUAUAAUAAAUUGAAUGAAAAAAAGGUAGUGAAAAAGCAAGACAUACAAGAAUUAACUAAACAUUGGAAAGAGGAAUGUAAAGAAUUACAAGAAAAAAUGUAUACUAUAAUAAAAGAAACUAUUGAUCAAGCGGAAAUACCUCCAGCAAGUGAGAAAUAAUAUAAAAUACGACAAUAAUACAUAAUGUUUACAUGUACUAUCUAGUAAAAGCAAUUUAUUUAAUAAAAAAUUGUAACACCAAUUUAAUAAAACUUUG